GAAGCUAAACCUACUUGUUUCCUCCGCCUAACUAUUAUUAUUACAGAUCUACUUCUUAUCUUCUCACAGUCGAUCUCUUUUCCUUUGACUUUAAUCUCCAGUAUCCUUUCUCUCUUCCUUACGCUCCUCUGUUUAUUAAGAUGAAUAUCCUACGUGGUUCUUCUUCAGGGACAGUUAGGAGGAGCCGUCAAACUUGUCUUCCUCCUGGAGCGACCAGACCAGCUUUGUCUGCUUCUUGACAUCCACUUCCAAGCUUAGCUGCUGUGAUGAGUGCACCUGAGAGACGUAACGUGCCUCUUCUCCAUCUACAAAGGCCCAAUGGAACUUUAUGGUUUGGGAUAGACGACUGCAUCCCAAAAGAUUUAGUGUCAACAUACCAGUCAAUUUGCUUUUCUUGUAGGUGGCGACCACUGGCAAAAGGAGAGUUUAUGGGCUUGGUUCAAUUCAAGAUAUUGAUGAUGAACCAAGUGAGACUGCACCAGCUUCUUUAUUUACUCAUGUGGCAGUUGAUGGAUGCUUGACCAUCGUGGAGGGUGUUGUAACUUGCUUGAAGGAUGAUGUUUCUGGCUUGAAGGAGGAUGUAAUUGGUAUUAAGCGAGGCAUCGAGGUGCUGAUGAAGAUGAAUGGAGUGGAUCCUGUUACCUUUGAACCUAUUCAGCGUGAUAGUGAUGCCUCUGUUCCAACUCCCCAAUCAAGCCAAUAACUUGACCAAAAAUCUCGUACACUAACUCUUGCAUCUGAUCUUGGUGUCUUUUGUGUUUAUACUAAGUUACACUAACAUCAUUAGAUGUAUUUUGUAAGAACAUCAGUAGAUGUCUUUUGUAACUAUUGAAGAACAUCAUUAGAUGUCUUUUGUAAAAAAACUUAUAAUUUUAAUGGUAUUUGAAUGUUUAAAUUAA
Molecule: long non-coding RNA, 899 nt
Organism: Brassica oleracea var. oleracea
Lineage: Eukaryota; Viridiplantae; Streptophyta; Magnoliopsida; Brassicales; Brassicaceae
Exons: 3
Source: RefSeq, a predicted model, not a curated record